AACGAACGCUGGCGGCAUGCCUAACACAUGCAAGUCGAACGAGACCUUCGGGUCUAUUGGCGCACGGGUGCGUAACGCGUGGGAACCUGCCCUUAGGUUCGGAAUAACUCCCCGACAGGGGUGCUAAUACCGGAUAAUGUCUUCGGACCAAAGAUUUAUCGCCUUUGGAUGGGCCCGCGUUGGAUUAGCUAGUUGGUAGGGUAAAAGCCUACCACGGGGACGAUCCAUAGCUGGUCUGAGAGGAUGAUCAGCCACACUGGGACUGAGACACGGCCCAGACUCCUACGGGAGGCAGCAGUGGGGAAUAUUGGACAAUGGGCGAAAGCCUGAUCCAGCAAUGCCGCGUGAGUGAUGAAGGCCUUAGGGUUGUAAAGCUCUUUUACCCGGGAUGAUAAUGACAGUACCGGGAGAAUAAGCUCCGGCUAACUCCGUG
Molecule: ribosomal RNA, 433 nt
Filed under: uncultured bacterium
Lineage: Bacteria
Description: partial 16S ribosomal RNA
Rfam family: Bacterial small subunit ribosomal RNA
Source: RNAcentral